UAGUUUUGGCAUAUAAAAUCAACUCAUAAUAGUAUGGACUUAAUCUCAAAAGACCUUGUCAUUGGUUCACUUAGAUUAUUCUUUGCAAGGUCAAAGUUUGCUAUGUAUGUCAUCUAGAAAAACAAACUAGAAUCAUUUCUAAAUCUGAAAAUAUUGUUUUCACCUUUUAGCCUUUGAAAACUCUUCAUAAGAACUUAUUUGGAUCUCUAGGAUUGUGAACCC
RNAcentral lists this long non-coding RNA (222 nucleotides) under Phoenix dactylifera (date palm). Its description in RNAcentral is "long non-coding RNA (PDAC_LNC022473)". The record is from RNAcentral. Lineage: Eukaryota; Viridiplantae; Streptophyta; Magnoliopsida; Arecales; Arecaceae.